RNAcentral lists this ribosomal RNA (492 nucleotides) under uncultured bacterium. Its description in RNAcentral is "partial 16S ribosomal RNA". It matches the Rfam family "Bacterial small subunit ribosomal RNA", at positions 29 to 507 of the family's 1533-position model. The record is from RNAcentral.
AGUGAACGCUGGCGGUAGGCCUAACACAUGCAAGUCGAACGGCAGCACAGUAAGAGCUUGCUCUUACGGGUGGCGAGUGGCGGACGGGUGAGGAAUACAUCGGAAUCUACUUUUUCGUGGGGGAUAACGUAGGGAAACUUACGCUAAUACCGCAUACGACCUACGGGUGAAAGCAGUGGAUCUUCGGACCUUGCGCGAUUGAAUGAGCCGAUGUCGGAUUAGCUAGUUGGCGGGGUAAAGGCCCACCAAGGCGACGAUCCGUAGCUGGUCUGAGAGGAUGAUCAGCGACACUGGAACUGAGACACGGUCAAGACUCCUACGGGAGGCAGCAGUGGGGAAUAUUGGACAAUGGGCGCAAGCCUGAUCCAGCCAUACCGAGUGGGUGAAGAAGGCCUUCGGGUUGUAAAGCCCUUUUGUUGGGAAAGAAAAGCAGCAGGUUAAUACCCCGCUGUUCUGACGGUACCCAAAGAAUAAGCACCGGCUAACUUCGUG